RNAcentral lists this unclassified non-coding RNA (2078 nucleotides) under Hevea brasiliensis (rubber tree). The record is from RNAcentral. Lineage: Eukaryota; Viridiplantae; Streptophyta; Magnoliopsida; Malpighiales; Euphorbiaceae.
GAAACCAGGUGAAAGCAAAUCACUGUAUCUCUGUAGAUAUAAACUCAUACACGAUUCUCUUUCUCUCGCGCGCGCUCUCUCACUCUUUCUACAUCUCUGCAUUGGAUCGAUUGAAGCACCUGGAAGAUUGUGCUUGUCAGAGCUUAAGUUUGUUGAACAUCUUGGCUGCCGUCUUGAAAUUGAAGAAUGCCAUAUUUUCCCAACAGCACGCUUGAGGAUGUGAUUUCUUUUUCUCAGCAUCUGAUCUUCCUGACUUGAGUGUCAAAAGGAAAGAAAAAUACCAGAUGGGGUCCAUACACCGCAGUGGACUUUCUAGGAAAACAAGUGAUAGUGCCAGGCUCAUUAUCACAACAAUUUUUGGAGUCGUAUUUGGUUUUUUUAUUGGUAUUUCAUUUCCAUCAGUUUCACUUACAAAGAUUCGCAUACCUUCAGGCAUAAUAUCAUCUCUUGAAGUACCGUCCCUUGAUCAACAUAGCAGAAGCAAAGAUACUAUUGGAUCAAGCAGUGUUCAUAGGAUUUAUGUUCCAACAAAUCCUCGUGGUGCAGAGUUAUUACCUCCUGGAAUAGUUGUGUCAAAAUCUGACUUUUACUUGCGCAGAUUAUGGGGUGAACCUAGUGAGGAUCUAAAGAACAAGCCAAAGUACUUAGUAACAUUUACAGUUGGUUAUGAUCAGAGGAAUAAUAUUGAUGCUGCUGUUAAAAAGGUUAUAUGGACAAACCAUUUGUUAUCCCUUGUUUAAUUGUCUUUAUUACCUUUGAUACUGAAUCUUGUUUUCUUGUACUUGUGGUAGUUUUCUGAUGAUUUUACAAUUUUGCUUUUUCACUAUGAUGGUCGAACAAGUGAAUGGGACCAAUUUGAGUGGUCAAAAAAAGCAAUCCAUGUCAGUGUAAGAAGACAAACAAAAUGGUAAAGUUUAUCGCAUAUCCAUCCUAGUUUAAGAUUAAGGCUUCAUUGAGUUUAUUAUUCAAGUUCUAACUCUAAAUUUCCUAUUAGUUGAACUUUAGAUGUAGAAUAAUCAUUUGAUUAGUUCGCUCCAUUGUUCAACUGCUUCUCUGCUUUGCUGUUGAGGCAGCCAAGUAUCAUUAUCAUACAGGUGGAUGCUAAUAUUGUGGUCUGCUCUCUUAUUUAUGCUAUAUGUUUUCCAGGUGGUAUGCAAAGAGGUUUUUGCAUCCUGAUAUCGUUGCUGCUUAUGAAUAUAUUUUCAUAUGGGAUGAAGAUCUUGGAGUGGAGCAUUUUAAUGCAGAGAAGUAAGUUCUAACUUGUCAUCUUCUUGGCUGAAAUCAACUGUUAAAUGCUUCAUUUCAAUUUUUUUCUUAUGAAUUUAUAGAUAUAUUGAGUUGGUUAGAAAACAUGGUUUGGAGAUCUCUCAGCCUGGUCUUGAGCCCAAUAAUGGACUUACAUGGCAGAUGACAAAGAGGAGAGGUGACAGAGAAGUUCAUAAGUAUUUCAUCUCUCAUGAACUUUGUUGAGGUCUCAUGAUAUCUUGGAAAAAUAAUUUUCUUUACCUUUUAAAGAUUUCACUUAUCUUUGGAUUGGACAGGGAUACGGAGGAGAAACCAGGCUGGUGUAGUGACCCACGCUUGCCUCCAUGUGCUGCGUAUGCUCUCACUCUCUUCUUCUGUAUGUGUGUCUGUCUGCAUCCACUCAUGCAUGUGAAUGUUCUAAUUGGUUCUUGUGGGCACUCAGCUUUGUGGAAAUUAUGGCCCCAGUGUUUUCUCGAGAGGCUUGGCGUUGUGUGUGGCAUAUGAUUCAGGUGUGUUGUAUUCUAGGAUUGUGUUGCUAUGUAAUUGUUUUCACAGUUACAUGCUUUUGCACACUUAUAUACAUAGAUUUUCAGAAAUUUUAAUGCAAAAGCCAAGUUCUUCAUCUCUUGUGAAUAUAAAAUUUGCUAUUCUUUAAUCUCAAACUUCUUUAGUAGUACAGGGGAUAUAUGAAGAUAAAAUGAGACAAGAUGCAUGUGCACAGCAUUCCACAUAGUCUACACACAUGAUCUCUUUUCACUGUUUUUCAAUUUUUAUCCUCUCUUUAAAGUGUUGCUGUAAUAAUGUGCUUGUAGAAUGAUUUGGUGCAUGGAUGG